Molecule: microRNA precursor, 149 nt
Filed under: Schistosoma mansoni
Lineage: Eukaryota; Metazoa; Platyhelminthes; Trematoda; Strigeidida; Schistosomatidae
Description: microRNA sma-mir-8444 precursor
Source: miRBase by way of RNAcentral
GUACUGGGAAGAUAUAUUGAAAUUGAUUAUCGUGUAGUAAUAAGUAUAAUUAAUCGUAGUUAUAUCUUAAGAGAUUUAAACAACGCUGUUAAUAAUAAUUUAUUGUUCAAAGAACUGCACAACAUCGAUUUUGAAGUUUUGCCCUGAAA